Molecule: ribosomal RNA, 225 nt
Filed under: uncultured bacterium
Lineage: Bacteria
Description: partial 16S ribosomal RNA
Rfam family: Bacterial small subunit ribosomal RNA
Source: RNAcentral
UAACGCGUGAGGAACCUGCCUCAAAGAGGGGGACAACAGUUGGAAACGACUGCUAAUACCGCAUAAGCCCACGGCUCGGCAUCGAGCAGAGGGAAAAGGAGCAAUCCGCUUUGAGAUGGCCUCGCGUCCGAUUAGCUAGCUGGUGAGGUAAUGGCCCACCAAGGCGACGAUCGGUAGCCGGACUGAGAGGUUGAACGGCCACAUUGGGACUGAGACACGGCCCAG